AGUACCGCGAGGAAAAGCAGGAGCCGCAACAGUCGUAUAAUUCUUACUGUGGGCGUAGCACGUGUUGCCUUUUAGCUGUGUAGGAAGGUGUACUGUGUGAGAGAUGCGCCUUUUUUUCGUGCUGUCUCUUAUUUGUCUAACGUUGAGGUUUCGGUCGACUCGUCUCAGCCAAGAUCUCCUUCACUUUCGGUGUCCUUCGAAAUUCCCAGAAUCCACAGGGCUUCUAAGGAGAAUAGCGCUUGACUGCGCAACGGAAAAGACCUUUCGAAUAUAGGUUACAGCAACUACACUGACCUCAUGUGCCCAAACUCCUAUACACAAUAGUGUUUCAUUCAGUUCUUCCAUACUCAUUGUCAUUAAGUUUAGAAUUGUUUAUAUUUUUCUAAUAAAAUGAUAGUACUAAUUUGUUUCCAUUUUCGUGUCAUUUGAUUUAUUCAUGUUAUGACGAAGAGUUCAAAUAUAUUACUGAUUAAUAAGCAUCAUAAUGUGCAUUAUGAAUAUAUUACUGAUAUACAUACAGCACCCCAAACUUGCCCAGAUACAUUCGGACUGUGAUAUCAACUAACUUUCAUAAGAAUGCUUCCAGGACUUGCUUCUCUUCUGUGUGUUCAUCUAAGUAUACAUGAAUGUUUGCAUGAAUUUUGUAUAUGUACAUGAUGCAUCUUAGUACUCAUGCUAAAAAUCGUUUCGAGAGUUUUACCGCACACACAUCAAACGAAGAAUUUACUAGUCUCCAUUCCGGCAACAACCUCGUCACAACUUAUGCAAUAACGAUUAAGCGCAUCUGAAGGAAAGAUAUGCUCGGUGGAAAUUAACCCCAGAUUAUACAACUGCUACGAGAAAUUCUCAUUGACAGCAAAUUUGGCUACAGUAUUGCCAAGUCGGCCCCAGUACAGUCCACCUCUUUAUGGUGUUUUAUAUACUGAUUUAUAUACACUGACGUCAGCAGAAACGCCAGAACAAGUUAUAUAAACUUCAGGAUACGGCAGCUGGAUCAUUUCUCGUCCUGAGGUCGUACCUUCCUACAGCACGUCAGGUACGAAGGCUAUACAACGACACCACCGAAGAUGCGUUUCCUCCUCGUUUUCUUGGCUCUGGGAGUCCUCGUGGGGGGAGUCCUGGCGAUUCCCAGACGCCGACUCAACAGAGGUCGCGACAACAGGGACGGGGGACGGAAGAAUAAUGCUGACAACCGACGACCACCCGAGGCGCUGCCCUUCAGCCCUCCUUUAUUCCUUAGUGGCAAGUAAUAGUUGAAAAGAGGUCGCUUUGUGACCUGCUUCGACUUUGGUUCUGGGACUUUCAAAGAUGACCUGGAGGAGUAUUUUUAAAUAUCGUAUCUCAUUCACUCGAAAAAAAUAUUUAUCUCGCAAAAGGAAAUCAAUAUCUCUGUUCGUCAUAGGCAAGAAAAACGAUUUUGUUACUCAAUUUUCCCUUAAUGAAAAUCGGUCUUUCCUCAUCACACAGGUGAGUGACCCACGCUCUGUUUCAGUGUUACCAAAGAGAGUGAAUGUGACCACAGGUAUGUUUUUUUUUAAGACUGCAUUCAUACAUAUUAAGUAUAAGACAUGUAUGUGUGUAGUAAUAGGAUUAAGUAUUUCGAGGCUUAGUUUAACUACUGUGGUUUUAACAUGUGAAACAAUGUUUACCAGUGCCUGUACUAUAUAUCAAUAUGAUUUAGUGAAUGAAAGACACACACACACACACACACACACACACACACACACACACACACACACACACACACACACACACACACACACUCACACCUUUGAAAUGGUGUAUUCUCGGCCAAGAUAUAAAAAGGUACGCUGAAUUUUACUUUUCACUGGCAUUCUUCAGAUGAAAAGGUUUAUAUAUUCCUACAUUAUUAACACAUUUUUUUAUGAUCCUAAAUGCUUAUAAAGGUUGGUAUAUUCUUAAUAUUGUAUCAUAAUUUAUUCUUGGAAUAUUUAUCAAUUGUCUUAUUUUUAGUACACUAGCUGAUUAACAAUUUUUAAACUGUAGGCUACCGAUACGAGUGUAUACGUGGUUCCUGUUAGAUAUGAGAGAAAUGCAUGACCCACAUGUAAAUAUUUAUGUUGCCUGUCAAUGUAUAAUGACAUACCUGUCACAGAUC
Molecule: long non-coding RNA, 2119 nt
Filed under: Penaeus monodon (black tiger shrimp)
Lineage: Eukaryota; Metazoa; Arthropoda; Malacostraca; Decapoda; Penaeidae
Description: uncharacterized LOC119588788
Source: RNAcentral